GACGAACGCUGGCGGCGUGCUUAAUACAUGCAAGUCAACUUGACUUUAGAUAGCAAUAUCGAAAAGUAGGGUGGCGCACGGGUGCGUAACGCGUAGGUAAUCUGCCCUGAGGUCUGACAUAACCCGUCGAAAGGCGGGCUAACAUCAGAUGAUAUAUAAUCACGACAUCGUGGAAAUAUCAAAUCUUCGGAGCCUUGGGAUGAGCCUGCGUCUGAUUAGGUAGUUGGCGGAGUAAUAGCCCACCAAGCCUACGAUCAGUAGCUGGUCUGAGAGGAUGAUCAGCCACACUGGAACUGAGACACGGUCCAGACUCCUACGGGAGGCAGCAGUAAGGAAUAUUGCUCAAUGGGGGAAACCCUGAAGCAGCAACGCCGCGUGAAGGAUGAAAUACUUUUGUAUGUAAACUUCUGUAAGAUGGGAAAAAUAUUCUCCUCGGGAGAAUUGAUUGUACCAUCAGAGUAAGCCCCGGCUAACUACGU
Molecule: ribosomal RNA, 479 nt
Filed under: uncultured bacterium
Lineage: Bacteria
Description: bacterial SSU rRNA
Rfam family: Bacterial small subunit ribosomal RNA
Source: RNAcentral